GCAAUCAUCGCUGACAUGCUGGUUGAGUUGGACCGCCGGCAGGAGGCGGAGAGACCACUGCACCAGCCUGCACCAGCAAUAAACUAGCCGGGAGUUUCUAUAGUGGGCGAAGAAGAAGAAGGUUCAAGUGUCGAGGUUGAAAUUCAGAAACCAUCGAUUCAGUCUUGCAACGUCAGCGAGCUACAUAGAUGGCUCGAAGGAGGGGGCGAAAUACUGAAGUGUGUACAUGAGAUGGCGGCAGCUGAGGACGCUGAAAGGCGGCGCCAUCUCGUCCUUUUGGGUGAGGAGGAAAUACUGGACUGGGUGGGGGAACUACCAGAAAGCCCAACCGAACUGCUCAAGCCUUGGACCCAGAGUAGGCGUCACCAACACCGCCACCACAACAUCUAGUCGUGGUACGGGUGCCUGGAGCAGUGGUUGCGGGGGCGGGACUCAAACACACGCUCGGCUGGCGUGCAGUGCCCAGCAACAACAACGCGCCACUGCCGCUGCGCUGUCUCAUACACUCUGGCGUCUGUGGGUUGUCCAGUCGGUGGAAGAAGAAGAGCAACGAUGUCCCAGCCCUCAGGCUGGCGGUGGUGAACGCUCCAGCAGGCAGCAGCAGUACCAACAUGGGUGCUCCCACUGGGCCUCACCGUCGCAGCCUCCCACUACUCCAAAAAAAAUGGUUCAAAUGCCUCUGAGGUCAUCAGUCCCCUAGAACUUAGAACUAGUCAAACCUAACUAACCUAAGGACAUCACACACAUCCAUGCCCAAGGCAGGAUUCGAACCUGCGACCGUAGCUGUCGCGUGAUUCCAGACUGUAGCGCCCAGAACCGCUCGGCCACCACGGCCGGCCCCACUACUCCAGCCCACGCUGAUCGGCCUCGCCGACCAAAGGCGUGUGUGCCUCGGCGCAUCCCCCUCAUCCCAGCGAGCGCCUCCUCCUCAGCGCUGCCAUCCACCAGGCAGACGCAGUCGUCGCCUUCAUCUACUAGACGUAGUAUUAACGACAGUGUUAAUGAUAAUGAUGCUGUGGCUACCGGCAGUUCCCUCUCCCGUCCUUUCGGUGAAAGACAUCAGGUCAGUGACACUAUAUCGCAGUUAGAAUACUCGGUGAUUGUGGUCACCUUUAACGAGUGAAUUUCGUUCACAGGGAUCGAGAAUCCGGCAUGAGGCUACCACGAUCCUGUGCCUUCCUACCAUGGAGAAAGAGCUCCUCAGGGUCGUUAACAAUCGCCGUAUCCCACCAUAAAAUGCGGUGCAGUGCUGUGUAUCGGACUGUCACCCUCACCCACCGCCCCCCAAAGCUGCCAUUGGUAUUGGAGAGAAAAGUCUUCAUUAUCUUUGGGGGAAAAUGGUGUAAUAACGUGGAGCGUAUCAAUUGCCGAGUGGUUUCCUGAAUCCACCUUGAGAGCCAUACUGGCCCGGUUUUCCGAUACGGAAGUUAAGAGUCAAAGCACUCAGCCGAAUACUGAACCUGGGCCUCCACACACAUGUCUACGAUCUAGUAAAUGGAACGUCCAUCUAUAUUAAGUUCCCUAACGAUAUAGCUGAUAAGAAGGCAUGUAUGCCGGCCGAAGUGGCCCAGCGGUUCUAGGCGCUACAGUCUAGAACCGUGCGACCGCUACGGA
Molecule: long non-coding RNA, 1614 nt
Filed under: Schistocerca americana (American grasshopper)
Lineage: Eukaryota; Metazoa; Arthropoda; Insecta; Orthoptera; Acrididae
Description: uncharacterized LOC124619225, transcript variant X1
Source: RNAcentral